RNAcentral lists this ribosomal RNA (497 nucleotides) under uncultured bacterium. RNAcentral's name for it is "partial 16S ribosomal RNA". It matches the Rfam family "Bacterial small subunit ribosomal RNA", at positions 28 to 507 of the family's 1533-position model. The record is from RNAcentral.
GAUGAACGCUGGCGGCGUGCCUAAUACAUGCAAGUCGAGCGAACAGACGAGGAGCUUGCUCCUCUGACGUUAGCGGCGGACAGGUGAGUAACACGUGGAUAACCUACCUAUAAGACUGGGAUAACUUCGGGAAACCGGAGCUAAUACCGGAUAAUAUAUUGAACCGCAUGGUUCAAUAGUGAAAGACGGUUUUGCUGUCACUUAUAGAUGGAUCCGCGCCGCAUUAGCUAGUUGGUAAGGUAACGGCUUACCAAGGCAACGAUGCGUAGCCGACCUGAGAGGGUGAUAGGCCACACGGGAACUGAGACACGGUCCAGACUCCUACGGGAGGCAGCAGUAGGGAAUCUUCCGCAAUGGGCGAAAGCUUGACGGAGCAACGCCGCGUGAGUGAUGAAGGUCUUCGGAUCGUAAAACUCUGUUAUUAGGGAAGAACAAAUGUGUAAGUAACUAUGCACGUCUUGACGGUACCUAAUCAGAAAGCCACGGCUAACUACGUG